UUAAAAAUGGCGGAAAAAGCUAAUCCAUCAAAAAUGCCCUGGCUGGAGUUGGGCUAUCUUCUCACUCAUAAGUUUAUUUCUUCUACUGAGUCAUGAGCUUACCUUAUCUUCUUCUUGUUCCAUGAUGGUGUGUACGACUGAGACACUCUCUUGAUCCUAAUGCAUAUAAGGACGAAAGCGGUUUUAAAGAAACAAAUCCUCUUAUUUAUGGAGAAGUGCAACAGGGAACGACAUUUCGGAUACGAUGAG
Molecule: long non-coding RNA, 249 nt
Organism: Amphimedon queenslandica
Lineage: Eukaryota; Metazoa; Porifera; Demospongiae; Haplosclerida; Niphatidae
Exons: 3
Source: RefSeq, a predicted model, not a curated record